This 254-nucleotide ribosomal RNA is filed under the name uncultured bacterium. RNAcentral describes it as "partial 16S ribosomal RNA". It matches the Rfam family "Bacterial small subunit ribosomal RNA", at positions 524 to 776 of the family's 1533-position model. The record is from RNAcentral.
UACGUAGGCAGCAAGCGUUGUUCGGAGUUACUGGGCGUAAAGGGCGGGUAGGCGGCCACCGCAAGUCAGUUGUGAAAUCUCCGGGCUUAACCCGGAAAGGUCAACUGAUACUGCGGGGCUAGAGUGCAGAAGGGGCAACUGGAAUUCUCGGUGUAGCGGUGAAAUGCGUAGAUAUCGAGAGGAACACCUGCGGCGAAGGCGGGUUGCUGGGCUGACACUGACGCUGAACUGCGAAAGCUAGGGGAGCGAACGGG